Gasterosteus aculeatus aculeatus (three-spined stickleback) is the source of this 2757-nucleotide long non-coding RNA. The record is from Ensembl. Lineage: Eukaryota; Metazoa; Chordata; Actinopteri; Perciformes; Gasterosteidae.
CACCUAGCAACCGUUGCUAUGGCACCACACACGUAAUCGGUGACACGUCUUUGCGUUGAUGUGUGAGACCAGUUAUAGAUCAGAUCAUUUUGGAUUUGAAGGCAUUGGAAGCAGCCAUGGAUUUGCUCAUUUGCUGCUGUAUGAUCCUCCCUAAAUCGGAAGAGAUACAUGACGUAUGCUUCAGCAUAUUCCCAAUGAUCGAGAGCUUUUUCUACAGGUUGGGAGAGAAUCAGUGGAACAACCUGGAGAAAUGCAUCCCAGAUGUCGCCAUUGAAGUUAUGUUGGCAGAACUGCUUAUGGAUAUAAUAACAGAGUUAUCCAAAGCAUGCCUAAACUGUUUAGUGAGCACUGGCAAUUUGAAGCCAUACACUGAAAGUCAAUUUAUAGAUGGGAUAUUGACUCAAAGUUUCAAAAAUAUUAUGCAAAUUAAAGACAAAGUCGAGUGUGCAAGCUCAAAAUCCUUGAAUGACAUGAUACUUAGAGAGGUUUUAGGAAAUGCCAGGAGAUUUUACAAAAUCAAGAAACGUACUUUUCACCUAGAGCACGUCAUUCCCCUUGAACAACUCAAAGUAAUGGUUUCUCAUGCCUUAAUAAUGUUGUGGGAAUUUACUCCAAUGAUGAAAAAGCCGUCCAUAUUUCGAGUACAAAGACAGAAAAUUACUUUGACCAAAAAGCUGGUGCCUGUCGACCAAGAUGGUGUUGAGGAAUCAAAGGCUCCGAACAAUGUCACGUCAGAAAGAGUUCAAUCAUUAAUUCUGAGGGAAGUGAACGAGACAACGGAUCCUUUCCUGCAUGACACGUCAAAAAGACGUUACUUCGGCUUAAUCAGUACACAGAUUCCAUGGGACGUUAGUGAAAAAGUAUUUGAUAUGUUGGGGGCAGAUAUGUUUCAACGUGCCACUCUCGGGAAAAUUUAUAUCGGGUGCUUCGUUGAAAAACUGCUGAAUCACAUACUUGAUCGAAUUCAGAAAAUAUUCCUGAAGGACGAAGAAUACUCCCCCAUAUUGAUGGGUGAUAUACAACCCUUGGUGUCAGACCUGGUGAAGUGGGCUAACAACGAACAAAAUCACGACAAUGUUUUGGAAACCUUUGCAAUCGCAACACGUCUGAAGGAUGACCUUUUCAAAAGAAUUCAGAUGACACACCAGGGUGUUACCAAGAAUGAAUUGAUGAAUGAAGAGAUUUUUGAAAAAGUAUAUAUCUUCAUGAACUUGUUCAAUUUAUAUAACUGUCAGGUUCUCAGGAUGGUUGAAAAUAUUCGACCGGCUGUAGAGAUAAUUUCAACUACGAGUAAAGUUGAGGUCACAAAGUCACAAAGUUCAAAUGUUCCGUUCAAAGAGUUUUCUUCACCACAGUUGCUGGUCGACCACCAGAUCGACGUUCCUCCAAAUUCUCCUGAAGAACCUUCACAGGACAACACAGGGCAGGAAAGAAAAAAACGUUGUGUUAGGCCGGUCAUAGAGGACCUAGUUUGGGAGUUAGCAGAGAACUUCAAUAUUGAAAGUUGCACCAGGCAACUCGAGGUCAUCAUUCAGCGUCUGGUUGAAAAGAUUUUGUCCAAACUCAAGGAUGUGGACUUUAACCUCAAACCAAAAUCCUUUAAGAACUUGCACAAGAAGAUGUACAAUGAGCUGUACAAGAUGAAGGGCGGUAGAGCAGAUUUGCUGGUCUGCUUGAUAUUGGGGGACGAGGAAGUUGAAGAUUGCAUCGUCUCCAUCAUCAUAAAUAACGUGGAGCAGAGAAACGGUAUCUGCAAGAUCCUCAGCCGCGUGGGCCGAGCCUUCAUCAACAUCUUUAGGAGAAACAACAGUAUACAUCCAAUGCCUGACAAAGCCCGAGACAGUCGUGGAACAGUCCGAGACAGCCAUGAGACAGUCGUGGGACAGUCGUGAGACAUCUGUAAGGCGGUCGGUGAGACAGUCUUACAGACGUAAGACAGUUGGUGGGGCAGUGUGUGGGACAGUCGGUGGGACAUCGGUGGGACAGUCGUGAGACAGUCGUGAGACGGUCGGUGAGACAGUCUGAGACAGCCAUGAGAGUGUCGUAGGACAGUCGUGAGACAGUCGUGAGACAGUCAUGAGACAGUCGUGAGAAGUCUGUAAGACGGUCGGUGAGACAGUCUUACAGACGUAAGACAGUUGGUGGGACAGUGUGUGAGACAGUCGGUGGAACAGUCCGAGACAGUCGUGAGACAUCGGUGGGACAGUCGUGAGACGGUCGGUGAGACAGUCUGAGACAGCCAUGAGACUGUCGCAGGACAGUCGUGAGAAGUCUGUAAGACGGUCGGUGAGACAGUCUUACAGACGUAAGACAGUUGGUGGGACAGUGUGUGAGACAGUCGGUGGAACAGUCCGAGACAGUAAUGGGACAGUCGUGAGACAGUCGGUGAGACAGUCUGAGACAGCCAUGAGACUGUCGUAGGACAGUCGUGAGACAGUCGUGAGAAGUCUGUAAGACGGUCGGUGAGACAGUCUUACAGACGUAAGACAGUUGGUGGGACAGUGUGUGAGACAGUCGGUGGAACAGUCCGAGACAGUCGUGGGACAGUCGUGAGACGGUCGGUGAGACAGUCUGAGACAGCCACGAGACUGUCGUAGGACAGUCGUGAGACAGUCGUGAGACAGUCAUGAGACAGUCGUGAGAAGUCUGUAAGACGGUCGGUGAGACAGUCUUACAGACGUAAGACAGUCGGUGGGACAGUGUGUGAGACAGUCGGUGGAACAGUCUGAGACAGCCAUGAGACUGUCGUAGGACGGU